This 466-nucleotide ribosomal RNA is filed under the name uncultured bacterium. RNAcentral's name for it is "bacterial SSU rRNA". It matches the Rfam family "Bacterial small subunit ribosomal RNA", at positions 338 to 795 of the family's 1533-position model. The record is from RNAcentral.
CCUACGGGUGGCUGCAGUAGGGAAUCUUCCGCAAUGGACGAAAGUCUGACGGAGCGACGCCGCGUGAGCGAAGAAGGCCUUCGGGUCGUAAAGCUCUGUUGUGAGGGACGAAGGAGCGCCGUUUGAACAAGGCGGCGCGGUGACGGUACCUCACGAGAAAGCCCCGGCUAACUACGUGCCAGCAGCCGCGGUAAUACGUAGGGGGCGAGCGUUGUCCGGAAUUAUUGGGCGUAAAGCGCGCGCAGGCGGUCCUUUAAGUCUGAUGUGAAAGCCCACGGCUCAACCGUGGAGGGUCAUUGGAAACUGGGGGACUUGAGUGCAGGAGAGGAGAGCGGAAUUCCACGUGUAGCGGUGAAAUGCGUAGAGAUGUGGAGGAACACCAGUGGCGAAGGCGGCUCUCUGGCCUGUAACUGACGCUGAGGCGCGAAAGCGUGGGGAGCAAACAGGAUUAGAUACCCCAGUAGUC